RNAcentral lists this non-coding RNA (85 nucleotides) under Paenibacillus sp. yr247. Lineage: Bacteria; Bacillati; Bacillota; Bacilli; Caryophanales; Paenibacillaceae. The record is from RNAcentral.
GAACGCCGUAUGAAGGGAAACUUUCACGUACGGUGUGAGCUGGGGGAAAAGAGAGCCCUAAAGGGUGACUCUUACCUAUCAGCAU